AUUGAACGCUGGCGGUAUGCUUAACACAUGCAAGUAGAACGGUAGCAGGCCUUCGGGCGCUGACGAGUGGCGGACGGGUGAGUAACGCGUAGGAAUCUGCCUGUUAGUGGGGGACAACUUAGGGAAACUUAAGCUAAUACCGCAUACGCCCUACGGGGAAAAGGAGGGGACCUUCGGGCCUUCCGCUAACAGAUGAGCCUGCGUUGGAUUAGCUAGUUGGUAGGGUAAAGGCCUACCAAGGCGACGAUCCAUAGCUGGUCUGAGAGGACGAUCAGCCACACUGGGACUGAGACACGGCCCAGACUCCUAUGGGAGGCAGCAGUGGGGAAUAUUGGACAAUGGGCGCAAGCCUGAUCCAGCAAUACCGCGUGUGUGAAGAAGGCCCGAGGGUUGUAAAGCACUUUCAAUAGGGAGGAACACCUGCUGAUUAAUACUUGGCAGACUGACAUUACCUAUACAAGAAGCACCGGCUAACUCCGUGCCAGCAGCCGCCGUAA
This 497-nucleotide ribosomal RNA is filed under the name uncultured bacterium. Its description in RNAcentral is "partial 16S ribosomal RNA". It matches the Rfam family "Bacterial small subunit ribosomal RNA", at positions 30 to 523 of the family's 1533-position model. The record is from RNAcentral.